This 568-nucleotide long non-coding RNA is filed under the name Monodelphis domestica (gray short-tailed opossum). RNAcentral's name for it is "lncRNA (ENSMODG00000037618.1)". Lineage: Eukaryota; Metazoa; Chordata; Mammalia; Didelphimorphia; Didelphidae. The record is from RNAcentral.
UUCUUUUCUCUGUCAUGGGUCUAAAACUUUUGCUCACAUAGGAGAAGAAAGAGAAGGAGAUUUUCAGGCUGGACAGUGAAGCUGAUAGCAGCAGAUGCAGAAGUCACGGCAGCAGCUAAGAAGAUGGAUGUCACUGAGUUCCUGAGCCAAGCCAGGAGCUAUAGGAAAACAGGAUUACUUUGGAACUAUGGUGAAGGAAGGUAAGCAUGGCUGCAAUCUAGACGCGAAUUGCUUCCUCUCCCCGGCACCAAGAGAAGUAGACUACCUCAAAAGAGCAUAAAAAUCACCUUUAGAAGAAUGGAGGGACUAUCCAGUAAUCCACAGAAAUGAAGUUCUAGGUGUUGCAUAUUCAGAAGGAUACUGCCAAGUUGUAUGGCAACCACAGGAAGGAACAUGUACAUUGGAAAGAAGAAAGGCUCUAAAAUCACAAGUCCUGGCUUCAUAUCAAAUCUCCCUUCUUACUUCAAACUAUGUGAUCUUGGGGAACCUGAUUAUCUCCAUGUUGCAGUUGAGAAGAGAUACAAGAUAACUUAGACUGAAGAAUAGAACACUUAAGUAGAACAUGAUA